GUCUAUGGCCAUGCUACCCUGAACAAGCCCGAUUCCGUCUGAUCUCAGAAGCUAAGCAGGGUUGGGCCUGGUUAGUACUUGGAUGGGAGACCACCUAAGAAGACCAGGUGUUGUAGGCA
This 119-nucleotide ribosomal RNA is filed under the name Pteropus alecto (black flying fox). Lineage: Eukaryota; Metazoa; Chordata; Mammalia; Chiroptera; Pteropodidae. The record is from RNAcentral.